This 301-nucleotide ribosomal RNA is filed under the name uncultured bacterium. RNAcentral's name for it is "partial 16S ribosomal RNA". It matches the Rfam family "Bacterial small subunit ribosomal RNA", at positions 509 to 809 of the family's 1533-position model. The record is from RNAcentral.
CAGUCGCCGCGGGAAAACGAAGGGUGCAAGCGUUAAUCGGAAUUACUGGGCGUAAAGCGCGCGUAGGUGGUUCAUUAAGUUGGAUGUGAAAGCCCUGGGCUCAACCUGGGAACUGCAUCCAAAACUGGUGAGCUAGAGUACGGUAGAGGGUAGUGGAAUUUCCUGUGUAGCGGUGAAAUGCGUAGAUAUAGGAAGGAACACCAGUGGCGAAGGCGACUACCUGGACUGAUACUGACACUGAGGUGCGAAAGCGUGGGGAGCAAACAGGAUUAGAUACCCCCGUAGUCCCUGUCUCUUAUAA